GACGAACGCUGGCGGCGUGCUUAACACAUGCAAGUCGAACGGAAAGGCCCUGCUUUUGUGGGGUGCUCGAGUGGCGAACGGGUGAGUAACACGUGAGUAACCUGCCCUUGACUUUGGGAUAACUUCAGGAAACUGGGGCUAAUACCGGAUAGGAGCUCCUGCUGCAUGGUGGGGGUUGGAAAGUUUCGGCGGUUGGGGAUGGACUCGCGGCUUAUCAGCUUGUUGGUGGGGUAGUGGCUUACCAAGGCUUUGACGGGUAGCCGGCCUGAGAGGGUGACCGGCGACAUGGGGACUGAGAGACGGCCCAGACUCCUACGGGAGGCAGCAGUGGGGAAUAUUGCACAGUGGGCGGAAGCCUGAGGCAGCAACGCCGCGUGCGGGAUGACGGCCUUCGGGUUGUAAACCGCUUUCGCCUGUGACGAAGCGUGGGUGACGGUAAUGGGUAAAGAAGCACCGGCUAACUACGUG
RNAcentral lists this ribosomal RNA (468 nucleotides) under uncultured bacterium. Its description in RNAcentral is "partial 16S ribosomal RNA". It matches the Rfam family "Bacterial small subunit ribosomal RNA", at positions 28 to 507 of the family's 1533-position model. The record is from RNAcentral.